This 467-nucleotide ribosomal RNA is filed under the name uncultured bacterium. RNAcentral describes it as "bacterial SSU rRNA". It matches the Rfam family "Bacterial small subunit ribosomal RNA", at positions 269 to 732 of the family's 1533-position model. The record is from RNAcentral.
CAAGGCGUCGACGGGUAGCCGGCCUGAGAGGGUGACCGGCCACACUGGGACUGAGACACGGCCCAGACUCCUACGGGAGGCAGCAGUGGGGGAUAUUGCACAAUGGGCGCAAGCCUGAUGCAGCGACGCCGCGUGAGGGAUGACGGCUUUCGGGUUGUAAACCUCUUUCGCUACCGAACAAGGCUCCAUAUUGGUGGGGUUGAGGGUAGGUGGAUAAGAAGCGCCGGCUAACUACGUGCCAGCAGCCGCGGUAAUACGUAGGGCGCGAGCGUUGUCCGGAAUAUUGGCGUAAAGAGCUCGUAGGCGGCUUGUCGCGUCUGCUGUGAAAACGCGGGGCGUUAACUCCGCGCGUGCAGUGGGUACGGGCAGGCUAGAGUGUGGUAGGGGGUGACUGGAAUUCCUGGUGUAGCGGUGGAAUGCGCAGAUAUCAGGAGGAAACACCGAAUUGGGCGAAGGCAGGUCACUGG